CCCUGAUGCACAAGGUACUUUAAUAAACUUUUUUAAUUUUUAAUUUUCAUAAUUUUCAAUUCUCCUUUUCAGUUAUAUAAAACUUUUAACCCAAAUCCUAUACAUAUUUUAUAAAUCUUUUUCAGCAAACUUUAAAAAAAAAAUUCCUUAAAA
This 153-nucleotide ribosomal RNA is filed under the name Ixodes luciae. RNAcentral's name for it is "partial 16S ribosomal RNA". The record is from RNAcentral. Lineage: Eukaryota; Metazoa; Arthropoda; Arachnida; Ixodida; Ixodidae.